AUGGGGCUGCCCGACUGCCCUGUGCCAAGGACCAUGCCUGGCCGCUGGGGCUGUGGGGCUGGAUUUGGGGCUGGAUUUGCAUCUCUGGGGGGAAAUGGCAGCCCCCGGGGGGCUUCCACACCAGCCUUCAGGCACUGUGGCCGCUGCUGGUCCCUGGGCUGGGUUCAGAGCCUUCCCUUCCCUUCCCUGGCAGGUCCACCACAUCUUGCAGGAGGUGGUGAUCGGUGGCAUGGUGCUGGAGACCAACAUGAACGAGAUCGUGGCGCAGGUGGAGGCCCAGAGCAAGCUGGAGAAGGCGGAGGGAGGCCUCUCGGCCGCUCCUUCCCGCGCUGUCUCAGCCGUGAAGAACAUCAACCUGCCAGAGAUCCCUCGCAACAUCAACAUCGGAGACAUCAACAUCAAAGUGCCCAACCUCUCACAGUUCAUGUGAGCGUCCCAUGGCUGGGGGGGCUGCCCGGGGGCACGGGCUGGGGCCUGGGCUGGAUGGGGAGCGGAGCUGGGCUCCCCUGGGCUCCCCCUGUCCCUCCUGGGGCUCUGCCCCUUGCGGGUCUCCGCUCCUGUGGCACCCGGAGUGCCUGGUGCGAUGCCAGCGUUUGGCAGAGGGGGGGGAGCGGUGAGGGGACUCUGUGGGAGCUGGUGGGGUGUCCCCCGCCUGUCUGUCAGCUCGCACCUGGGCUCAGCUCCGCUCUUCGGGCUCCCAACAACACGGGUGGCCUUUUUUCCCCUCCCUGCUCCCUCCCCGUGGACGCGCAGCCUCUCUCCUGGCUGGGGAAGAGCCAGUUCCUGCUUCUCCCAGAGCUUCUCGAGAUUCCUGGUUGUAAAAAUGCACUUGUAGCUGAUGGCUCCCGCAGGAGCCACAGGUUGUCACCUCCUCCCUGGGAUGGACUGUCCCGUGCCCUGCAUCCCUGUGCCCGCCCUGCUCCCCGUCGCUGGGUCUGGCCCCCCGCGAUGGGCUUGGGACCAGCCUGGUCGGGGUUGAGAGCGGGAGGGUCUGCCAGGUCUGGAGCUGGGGCUGGAGUGGGGGGAACCUGCUGGGCCGGGGGGUGCCGGGGGUCAGAGGGGGGCCACCUCCUGCCCUGCCUGGGCUGUGGGGCAGGGGAGCAGUGGGGCUGGGACCUCCUGGAGCAUGUCCCCAUGUCCCAAUAAACCACCCUGUGAACCUGCUGUGUCUGUGUCUGCCGUGAGGGGCUGCUGGACCAGCCCCGGGGGGAGCCCGGGAGGGGGCUGUGGCAGUCGGGGUCCUCUGCAGCACCUGUGGGGCGGCUGCAACCCUGGGGGGCUCUUGACGGUUGGGCAGGCAGGUGCUCAGGGGGAAAGAUGGUGCCCUGCUCCCCCUCUGGGGGAGGGCUGGGGUUGCUGCAGGGUGGGCUGUGGGGCAGGGUCCCUGGCUGUGCCCUAGGGGGCAUCCCUGGGCAGAGCAUCCCUGGUCUGCUCUUGGGGCAACUAUGAGCCCCGUAGGGCUCAGUGGGGCAUGUGAGGGCUGUGGGGCUGGAGCUAGUGUCCCUCCACAAGGCCUGGGGGAGUGGGGCUGGUCCUGGGGGUCCAUGGACUGAGUGUGGCUGCGGGGGACAGGCCAGGCAGGGGGCUCCCUGAGCAGAGGGGGCUCCUCAGGGCCCCAUCUGGCCACCAGCCUGGGGGCUGGCUCAGGGGCCCCUUCCUCUGCUUCCCCUCCGGCGGCCGGUCCAGCUGCGUCCCGCGGGCUCUGCCUCCACUUCCCCUGGCAGGGAAACCGUGACUCUGCCUGGAAGGAAUUUUCCUGUCGUCUCCCCUCCCUGCGGCUUAACCCUUCCCCAGCUGGCCAUGAGCCACUGCCAGGGGCCGUGGAGGUCAAGGAGCUGGGCAACCUCCUUCUUCCUCUUUUCCGCCAGCCCCCCUUCUCUUCCUCCUCUUCCUCCUCCUCCUCGUGCUGUCAGCUGCCGGAGCAGCGUGGUGCAGGGACCAGGUGAGCGGUGCUGUGUCCCAGGGGUGGCACACGGGGUCCGACGGGCACUGGGACAGUGGGAGGGGGAAACCCCGGCUUGCCCCAGGGUGAGGGACGCAGCGCGGAGCCCUCGUCCCGCUGCGGGGGCACUGGAGGCGUCGGGCUGGGGCAGGUGGUCCUGGCUGCGACGGGCCGUGCCCGUGCCCAGCCCUGUGCCGUGGCACG
This 2146-nucleotide long non-coding RNA is filed under the name Calidris pygmaea (Spoon-billed sandpiper). Its description in RNAcentral is "lncRNA (ENSCPGG00000008518.1)". The record is from RNAcentral. Lineage: Eukaryota; Metazoa; Chordata; Aves; Charadriiformes; Scolopacidae.